CAGCACCUCAAGUGGUCAGGAUGAUUAUUGGGCCUAAGCAUCCGUAGCCGGUUCUACAAGUCUUCCGUUAAAUCCACCUGCUUAACAGAUGGGCCGCGGAGGAUACUAUAAGACUAGGAGGCAGGAGAGGCAAGCGGUACUCAGUGGGUAGGGGUAAAAUCCGUUGAUCCAUUGAAGACCACCAGUGGCGAAGGCGGCUUGCCAGAAUGCGCUCGACGGUGAGGGAUGAAAGCUGGGGGAGCAAACCGGAUUAGAUACCCGAGUAGUCC
This 269-nucleotide ribosomal RNA is filed under the name uncultured archaeon. Its description in RNAcentral is "partial 16S ribosomal RNA". It matches the Rfam family "Archaeal small subunit ribosomal RNA", at positions 477 to 747 of the family's 1478-position model. The record is from RNAcentral.